RNAcentral lists this ribosomal RNA (526 nucleotides) under Phorcosergia grandis. RNAcentral describes it as "partial 16S ribosomal RNA". It matches the Rfam family "Bacterial large subunit ribosomal RNA", at positions 1831 to 2597 of the family's 2925-position model. Lineage: Eukaryota; Metazoa; Arthropoda; Malacostraca; Decapoda; Sergestidae. The record is from RNAcentral.
GUCUGUGCGAAGGUAUGUAGAGUCUGGCCUGCCCACUGACUUAGCGUGUUUUAAGGGCCGCGGUAUUUUGACCGUGCGAAGGUAGCAUAAUCAUUAGUCUUUUAAUUGAAGGCUCGUAUGAAUGGUCGGACAAAAAGUAAGCUGUCUUCAACUGUAAAAAUUGAAUUUGACUUUUAAGUGAAAAGGCUUAAAUAGUACAAAGUGACGAUAAGACCCUAUAAAGCUUUAUAGCGAAACUUUUUAUUAUAAAUUAUCGAACUGUAUAACUUAAUUUAAAGUGAAACUUUUUCGUUGGGGCGACGAAAAUAUAAUAAAAUAACUGUUUUUGUUUAAACAAUACAAGCAUAUUUGAUUUUAAUGAAUGAUCCUUUAUUAAAGAUUAAAAGAUUAAGUUACUUUAGGGAUAACAGCGUAAUCUUCUUUGAGAGUUCAUAUCGACAAGAAGGGUUGCGACCUCGAUGUUGAAUUAAGGUUCCUGUGCGGUGUAGCAGCUGCGAUUGGAGGUCUGUUCGACCUUUAAACCCUU